AGCCCAGUGCUUGUGGAGGUUACAGGGGGUGGGGCUUCUCAGCCCAGUGCUUGUGGAGGUUACAGGGGGUGGGGCUUCUCAGCCCAGUGCUUGUGGAGGUUACAGGGGGUGGGGCUUCUCAGCCCAGUGCUUGUGGAGGUUACAGGGGGUGGGGCUUCUCAGCCCAGUGCUUGUGGAGGUUACAGGGGGUGGGGCUUCUCAGCCCAGUGCUUGUGGAGGUUACAGGGGUGGGGCUUCCCCUCUGGUGACUCGCUUCUGGAGUCUCAGCAUGGAGCCCACUCUUCUACGACAAGCACCCCAAGUCUCCUUACGGUAUCACCUCCUCAGCUCAAAAAC
This is a non-coding RNA of Oryctolagus cuniculus (rabbit), 336 nucleotides long. Lineage: Eukaryota; Metazoa; Chordata; Mammalia; Lagomorpha; Leporidae. The record is from RefSeq and is a predicted model, not a curated record.